Molecule: ribosomal RNA, 468 nt
Filed under: uncultured bacterium
Lineage: Bacteria
Description: partial 16S ribosomal RNA
Rfam family: Bacterial small subunit ribosomal RNA
Source: RNAcentral
GACGAACGCUGGCGGCGUGCCUAAUACAUGCAAGUCGAACGGAAAGGCCCUGCUCUUGUGGGGUGCUCGAGUGGCGAACGGGUGUGUAACACGUGAGUAAACUGCCCUUGACUUUGGGAUAACUUCAGGAAACAGGGGCUAAUACCGGAUAGGAGCUCUUGCUGCACGGUGGGGGUUGGAAAGAUUCGGCGGUUGGGGAUAGACUGGCGGCUUAUCAGCUUGUUGGUGGGGUAGGGGCUUACCAAGCCUGUGACGGGUAGCCGGCCUGAGAGGGUGACCGGCCACAUUGGGACUGAGAUAGGGCCCAGACGCGUACGGGAGGCAGCGGUGGGGAAUAUGACAGAAUGGGCGGAAGCCUGAUGCAGCGGUGCCGCGUGCGGGAUAACGGGUUUCGAGUUGUAAACCGCUUUGGACGUUGACGAACAGGGAGUGACGGUAAUGAGUAAGGAAGCACCGGCUAACUACGUG